Molecule: regulatory RNA element, 46 nt
Organism: Anopheles gambiae str. PEST
Lineage: Eukaryota; Metazoa; Arthropoda; Insecta; Diptera; Culicidae
Rfam family: Histone 3' UTR stem-loop
About the family: The mRNAs of metazoan histone genes lack a poly-A tail.
Source: Rfam
CAAACGGCCCUUUUCAGGGCCACCAAUUGUGUUGAAAAGAACUUAU